GACGAACGCUGGCGGCGUGCUUAACACAUGCAAGUCGAACGGAAAGGCCCUGCUUUUGUGGGGUGCUCGAGUGGCGAACGGGUGAGUAACACGUGAGUAACCUGCCCUUGACUUUGGGAUAACUUCAGGAAACUGGGGCUAAUACCGGAUAGGAGCUCCUGCUGCAUGGUGGGGGUUGGAAAGUUUCGGCGGUUGGGGAUGUACUCGCGGCUUAUCAGCUUGUUGGUGGGGUAGUGGCUUACCAAGGCUUUGACGGGUAGCCGGACUGAGAGGGUGACCGGCCAAAUUGGGACUGAGAUAGGGCACAGACUCCGACGGGAGGCAGGAGUGGGGAAUAUUGCACAAUGGGCGGAAGCCUGAUGCAGCAACGCCGCGUGCGGGAUGACGGCCUUCGGGUUGUAAACCGCUUUCGCCUGUGACGAAGCGUGAGUGACGGUAAUGGGUAAAGAAGCACCGGCUAACUACGUG
Molecule: ribosomal RNA, 468 nt
Filed under: uncultured bacterium
Lineage: Bacteria
Description: partial 16S ribosomal RNA
Rfam family: Bacterial small subunit ribosomal RNA
Source: RNAcentral